This 253-nucleotide ribosomal RNA is filed under the name uncultured bacterium. RNAcentral's name for it is "partial 16S ribosomal RNA". It matches the Rfam family "Bacterial small subunit ribosomal RNA", at positions 524 to 776 of the family's 1533-position model. The record is from RNAcentral.
UACGUAGGGUGCGAGCGCUAAUCGGAAUUACUGGGCGUAAAGCGUGCGCAGGCGGUUCGUUAUGUCCGCUGUGAAAGCCCCGAGCUUAACUUGGGAAUGGCAUUGGAAACUGGCGGGCUGGAGUGCGGCAGAGGGGGGUGGAAUUCCACGUGUAGCAGUGAAAUGCGUAGAGAUGUGGAGGAACACCGAUGGCGAAGGCAGCCCCCUGGGCCGACACUGACGCUCAGGCACGAAAGCGUGGGGAGCAAACCGG